This 404-nucleotide ribosomal RNA is filed under the name uncultured bacterium. RNAcentral's name for it is "bacterial SSU rRNA". It matches the Rfam family "Bacterial small subunit ribosomal RNA", at positions 362 to 758 of the family's 1533-position model. The record is from RNAcentral.
UUUUGGACAAUGGGGGCAACCCUGAUCCAGCCAUGCCGCGUGAGUGAAGAAGGCCUUCGGGUUGUAAAGCUCUUUCGGACGGACCGAAAUGGUUACGGUCAAUACCCGUGACUGAUGACGGUACCGUAAGAAGAAGCACCGGCUAACUACGUGCCUGCAGCCGCGGUAAUACGUAGGGUGCGAGCGUUAAUCGGAAUUACUGGGCGUAAAGCGUGCGCAGGCGGUUUCGUAAGCUGGAGGUGAAAUCCCCGGGCUUAACCUGGGAAUGGCCUUCAGGACUGCGAGGCUAGAGUGCGGCAGAGGGAGGUGGAGUUCCACGUGUAGCAGUGAAAUGCGUAGAUAUGUGGAGGAACACCGAUGGCGAAGGCAGCCUCCUGGGCCAGCACUGACGCUCAUGCACGAAA